This is a non-coding RNA of Pelobates cultripes (western spadefoot toad), 171 nucleotides long. Lineage: Eukaryota; Metazoa; Chordata; Amphibia; Anura; Pelobatidae. The record is from the annotation of a GenBank genome assembly.
CAUAUAAAACAAAACAAAGAAAGAGAAUAUAUAGUGCAGAUGGUUUGACAAAUGAAAGCAAUUGAUGGUAACAAGAUGUGAGUGGUUUAAAGCAUCUUGUUACCAUCAAUUGCUUUCAUUUGUCAAACCAUCUGCACUAUAUAUUCUCUUUCUUUGUUUUGUUUUAUAUGU